This 72-nucleotide transfer RNA is filed under the name Dipodomys ordii (Ord's kangaroo rat). It matches the Rfam family "tRNA". Rfam says of the family: Transfer RNA (tRNA) molecules are approximately 80 nucleotides in length. Their secondary structure includes four short double-helical elements and three loops (D, anti-codon, and T loops). Lineage: Eukaryota; Metazoa; Chordata; Mammalia; Rodentia; Heteromyidae. The record is from Rfam by way of RNAcentral.
GGAGGUAUGGCUCAGUGGUUGAGUGCCUGCCUAACAAGUAUGAGGCCCUGAGUUCAAAGCCCAGUACUACAA